GGGCUCGUAGCUUAGCCAGGCAGAGCGUCGGGCUCUUAACCCGAUUGUCGGGGGUUCGAAUCCCCCCGAGCCCGCCA
RNAcentral lists this transfer RNA (77 nucleotides) under Promethearchaeota archaeon. Its description in RNAcentral is "tRNA-Lys". It matches the Rfam family "tRNA". Rfam says of the family: Transfer RNA (tRNA) molecules are approximately 80 nucleotides in length. Their secondary structure includes four short double-helical elements and three loops (D, anti-codon, and T loops). Further hydrogen bonds mediate the characteristic L-shaped molecular structure. tRNAs have two regions of fundamental functional importance: the anti-codon, which is responsible for specific mRNA codon recognition, and the 3' end, to which the tRNAs corresponding amino acid is attached (by aminoacyl-tRNA synthetases). tRNAs cope with the degeneracy of the genetic code in two manners: having more than one tRNA (with a specific anti-codon) for a particular amino acid; and 'wobble' base-pairing, i.e. permitting non-standard base-pairing at the 3rd anti-codon position. Lineage: Archaea; Promethearchaeati; Promethearchaeota. The record is from RNAcentral. RNAcentral also lists the same sequence under 7 other names.